Molecule: ribosomal RNA, 524 nt
Filed under: fungal sp. AM2013
Lineage: Eukaryota; Fungi
Description: eukaryotic LSU rRNA
Rfam family: 5.8S ribosomal RNA (bases 164-317)
Source: RNAcentral
CUCCUGGGGUCCAACCUCCCACCCGUGUUUAUCGUACCUUGUUGCUUCGGCGGGCCCGCCGCAAGGCCGCCGGGGGGCUUCCGUCCCCGGGCCCGCGCCCGCCGAAGACACCUGUGAACGCUGUAUGAAGAUUGCAGUCUGAGCGAAAAGCUAAAUUUAUUAAAACUUUCAACAACGGAUCUCUUGGUUCCGGCAUCGAUGAAGAACGCAGCGAAAUGCGAUAAGUAAUGUGAAUUGCAGAAUUCAGUGAAUCAUCGAGUCUUUGAACGCACAUUGCGCCCCCUGGUAUUCCGGGGGGCAUGCCUGUCCGAGCGUCAUUGCUGCCCUCAAGCACGGCUUGUGUGUUGGGCCCUCGUCCCCCGGGACGGGCCCGAAAGGCAGCGGCGGCACCGCGUCCGGUCCUCGAGCGUAUGGGGCUUCGUCACCCGCUCUGUAGGCCCGGCCGGCGCCUGCCGACACCAUCAAUCUUUUUUCCAGGUUGACCUCGGAUCAGGUAGGGAUACCCGCUGAACUUAAGCAUAUCA